CAGAUACGUUAUUCUUAAAGCUCAUUCUUCUUUAUCUCAAAACUCUGCUAAAUUCUCCGUUCGAGCACUCCAUUCUUGUUGAGGCAGAGAACUGACUUGAGCGUCGGAGGGUCUUGCCGGAGCAACCCCACCUCCGGUUUAGACUUCCCUUGCAGGUCCCGGCGGCGACCGCGGCUUCCCCGACUCCAGCUUCUCCGGCGCAAGC
Molecule: long non-coding RNA, 205 nt
Filed under: Elaeis guineensis (African oil palm)
Lineage: Eukaryota; Viridiplantae; Streptophyta; Magnoliopsida; Arecales; Arecaceae
Description: long non-coding RNA (EGUI_LNC060382)
Source: RNAcentral